RNAcentral lists this ribosomal RNA (406 nucleotides) under uncultured bacterium. RNAcentral's name for it is "partial 16S ribosomal RNA". It matches the Rfam family "Bacterial small subunit ribosomal RNA", at positions 29 to 526 of the family's 1533-position model. The record is from RNAcentral.
AUUGAACGCUGGCGGCAGGCCUAACACAUGCAAGUCGAGCGAGCGGCGGACGGGUGAGUAUUGUCUGGGAAACUGCCUGAUGGAGGGGGAUAACUACUGGAAACGGUAGCUAAUACCGCAUACCAUCAGAUGUGCCCAGAUGGGAUUAGCUAGUAGGUGGGGUAACGGCUCACCUAGGCGACGAUCCCUAGCUGGUAUGAGAGGAUGACCAGCCACACGGGAACUGAGAGACGGUCCAGAGUCGUACGGGAGACAGCAGUGGGGAAUAUUGCACAAUGGGCGAAAGACUGAUGCAGCCAUACCGCGUGUGUGAGGAAGGCCUUCGAGUUGUAAAGCACUUUCAGCGGGGAGGCGUUACCCGCAGAAGAAGAACCGGCUAACUCCGUGCCAGCGGCCGCGGUAAUAC